UACGUAGGGUGCGAGCGUUAAUCGGAAUUACUGGGCGUAAAGCGUGCGCAGGCGGUUCGGUGUGUCCGAUGUGAAAGCCCCGGGCUUAACCUGGGAAUGGCAUUGGAAACUGGCGAGCUUGAGUGCGGCAGAGGGGGGUGGAAUUCCGCGUGUAGCAGUGAAAUGUGUAGAGAUCGGGAGGAACACCGGUGGCGAAGGCGGGUCUCUGGGCAUUUCCUGACGCUGAGGCGCGAAAGCGUGGGGAGCAAACGGG
This 253-nucleotide ribosomal RNA is filed under the name uncultured bacterium. RNAcentral's name for it is "partial 16S ribosomal RNA". It matches the Rfam family "Bacterial small subunit ribosomal RNA", at positions 524 to 776 of the family's 1533-position model. The record is from RNAcentral.